Molecule: ribosomal RNA, 2608 nt
Filed under: Escherichia coli
Lineage: Bacteria; Pseudomonadati; Pseudomonadota; Gammaproteobacteria; Enterobacterales; Enterobacteriaceae
Description: partial 23S ribosomal RNA
Rfam family: Bacterial large subunit ribosomal RNA
Source: RNAcentral
CAUAGGUUAAUGAGGCGAACCGGGGGAACUGAAACAUCUAAGUACCCCGAGGAAAAGAAAUCAACCGAGAUUCCCCCAGUAGCGGCGAGCGAACGGGGAGGAGCCCAGAGCCUGAAUCAGUGUGUGUGUUAGUGGAAGCGUCUGGAAAGGCGCGCGAUACAGGGUGACAGCCCCGUACACAAAAAUACACAUAUUGUGAGCUCGAUGAGUAGGGCGGGACACGUGGUAUCCUGUCUGAAUAUGGGGGGACCAUCCUCCAAGGCUAAAUACUCCUGACUGACCGAUAGUGAACCAGUACCGUGAGGGAAAGGCGAAAAGAACCCCGGCGAGGGGAGUGAAAAAGAACCUGAAACCGUGUACGUACAAGCAGUGGGAGCCUCUUUAUGGGGUGACUGCGUACCUUUUGUAUAAUGGGUCAGCGACUUAUAUUCUGUAGCAAGGUUAACCGAAUAGGGGAGCCGAAGGGAAACCGAGUCUUAACUGGGCGUUAAGUUGCAGGGUAUAGACCCGAAACCCGGUGAUCUAGCCAUGGGCAGGUUGAAGGUUGGGUAACACUAACUGGAGGACCGAACCGACUAAUGUUGAAAAAUUAGCGGAUGACUUGUGGCUGGGGGUGAAAGGCCAAUCAAACCGGGAGAUAGCUGGUUCUCCCCGAAAGCUAUUUAGGUAGCGCCUCGUGAAUUCAUCUCCGGGGGUAGAGCACUGUUUCGGCAAGGGGGUCAUCCCGACUUACCAACCCGAUGCAAACUGCGAAUACCGGAGAAUGUUAUCACGGGAGACACACGGCGGGUGCUAACGUCCGUCGUGAAGAGGGAAACAACCCAGACCGCCAGCUAAGGUCCCAAAGUCAUGGUUAAGUGGGAAACGAUGUGGGAAGGCCCAGACAGCCAGGAUGUUGGCUUAGAAGCAGCCAUCAUUUAAAGAAAGCGUAAUAGCUCACUGGUCGAGUCGGCCUGCGCGGAAGAUGUAACGGGGCUAAACCAUGCACCGAAGCUGCGGCAGCGACACUAUGUGUUGUUGGGUAGGGGAGCGUUCUGUAAGCCUGUGAAGGUGGCCUGUGAGGGUUGCUGGAGGUAUCAGAAGUGCGAAUGCUGACAUAAGUAACGAUAAAGCGGGUGAAAAGCCCGCUCGCCGGAAGACCAAGGGUUCCUGUCCAACGUUAAUCGGGGCAGGGUGAGUCGACCCCUAAGGCGAGGCCGAAAGGCGUAGUCGAUGGGAAACAGGUUAAUAUUCCUGUACUUGGUGUUACUGCGAAGGGGGGACGGAGAAGGCUAUGUUGGCCGGGCGACGGUUGUCCCGGUUUAAGCGUGUAGGCUGGUUUUCCAGGCAAAUCCGGAAAACCAAGGCUGAGGCGUGAUGACGAGGCACUACGGUGCUGAAGCGACAAAUGCCCUGCUUCCAGGAAAAGCCUCUAAGCAUCAGGUAACAUCAAAUCGUACCCCAAACCGACACAGGUGGUCAGGUAGAGAAUACCAAGGCGCUUGAGAGAACUCGGGUGAAGGAACUAGGCAAAAUGGUGCCGUAACUUCGGGAGAAGGCACGCUGAUAUGUAGGUGAAGCGACUUGCUCGUGGAGCUGAAAUCAGUCGAAGAUACCAGCUGGCUGCAACUGUUUAUUAAAAACACAGCACUGUGCAAACACGAAAGUGGACGUAUACGGUGUGACGCCUGCCCGGUGCCGGAAGGUUAAUUGAUGGGGUUAGCGGUAACGCGAAGCUCUUGAUCGAAGCCCCGGUAAACGGCGGCCGUAACUAUAACGGUCCUAAGGUAGCGAAAUUCCUUGUCGGGUAAGUUCCGACCUGCACGAAUGGCGUAAUGAUGGCCAGGCUGUCUCCACCCGAGACUCAGUGAAAUUGAACUCGCUGUGAAGAUGCAGUGUACCCGCGGCAAGACGGAAAGACCCCGUGAACCUUUACUAUAGCUUGACACUGAACAUUGAGCCUUGAUGUGUAGGAUAGGUGGGAGGCUUUGAAGUGUGGACGCCAGUCUGCAUGGAGCCGACCUUGAAAUACCACCCUUUAAUGUUUGAUGUUCUAACGUUGGCCCGUAAUCCGGGUUGCGGACAGUGUCUGGUGGGUAGUUUGACUGGGGCGGUCUCCUCCUAAAGAGUAACGGAGGAGCACGAAGGUUGGCUAAUCCUGGUCGGACAUCAGGAGGUUAGUGCAAUGGCAUAAGCCAGCUUGACUGCGAGCGUGACGGCGCGAGCAGGUGCGAAAGCAGGUCAUAGUGAUCCGGUGGUUCUGAAUGGAAGGGCCAUCGCUCAACGGAUAAAAGGUACUCCGGGGAUAACAGGCUGAUACCGCCCAAGAGUUCAUAUCGACGGCGGUGUUUGGCACCUCGAUGUCGGCUCAUCACAUCCUGGGGCUGAAGUAGGUCCCAAGGGUAUGGCUGUUCGCCAUUUAAAGUGGUACGCGAGCUGGGUUUAGAACGUCGUGAGACAGUUCGGUCCCUAUCUGCCGUGGGCGCUGGAGAACUGAGGGGGGCUGCUCCUAGUACGAGAGGACCGGAGUGGACGCAUCACUGGUGUUCGGGUUGUCAUGCCAAUGGCACUGCCCGGUAGCUAAAUGCGGAAGAGAUAAGUGCUGAAAGCAUCUAAGCACGAAACUUGC